This is a long non-coding RNA of Lycium ferocissimum, 866 nucleotides long. RefSeq lists it as uncharacterized. NCBI's taxonomy places the organism in Eukaryota, Viridiplantae, Streptophyta, Magnoliopsida, Solanales, Solanaceae. The record is from RefSeq and is a predicted model, not a curated record. The transcript is spliced from 2 exons.
CUAGACAAGUUUUUUUUAAAAAAAAAUUCUGCCUCGAUGUCCGGUAUCCACGUCGACACCCCACUAAAUUCAAAUUCAAUGAAGGAGCACCUACCACUCCACCACAAGUCUAGUUGAUUAGACAAAUUCUUUGCCAAAAUUUUUAAGAUUCUUUCUACAUUUGAAUAUAUCUUUAUAAAUAGCCCUAAAACACUUUACUAACUCUUAGGUAGAACUAAUUUCACAACAAUACCCCAUGAAAACUCUUGUAUUAGUUUCAUGGCUUUGCCUCAUUAUAUUCUUGAAAACUUUGCCAUACUCAUCUUGCACCUCAAUCCCAAAAUCCACAGUUCAUGAACUCAUCUUAAAGAAUGAAAACAAAGGAAAAUUUGCAAAUGAUACAUUGCUUGAAUCAAGAAGUACAAAGAGCAACAAGGAUGAACAUAAAGAUGUGCAUAAAAUUGUUCAUCACAGAAAAGGAGCUUAUGGUGGACCAGACCUUCUUAGAAAAGGGCAUAAAAAGAAUGGAGCCAAUAGUCACAAUUUUGAAAGGCCAAUUUUAGUGUCUUCUUUGUUAUUUUCUCUUCAUGUUGCCUUCACUAUAUAAGAUGUGGGAUAAUAGAUUGUGAUAGUUGAAAAAAAAAAGGGGGUUUCUCUCUUGUGCACCUUUUAGAUUUUAUAUAUAUUCUCAUUUUACUAUUGAGCAUAUGGAAUUUUUCUUCCCCUAGCUAAAAUAUUAAGUCCAUUUGUAGUUAACAACGUGUUUCGAUUGUUAUUUUUCAUCGUCUAAUAAUGUAUCAUACUGUAUUAUGCUAGUGCAACAAUGUUUGAAAGAUUGUUCUACUUGUUGUCACUUAAUAACAUUUUUCUCGUUUGAUUUACUGUAA